GACGAACGCUGGCGGCGUGCUUAACACAUGCAAGUCGAACGGAAAGGCCCUGCUUUUGUGGGGUGCUCGAGUGGCGAACGGGUGAGUAACACGUGAGUAACCUGCCCUUGACUUUGGAAUAACUUCAGGAAACUGGGGCUAAUACCGGAUAGGAGCUCCUGCUGCAUGGUGGGGGUUGGAAAGUUUCGGCGGUUGGGGAUGGACUCGCGGCUUAUCAGCUUGUUGGUGGGGUAGUGGCUUACUAAGGCUUUGACGGGUAGCCGGCCUGAGAGGGUGACCGGCCACAUUGGGACUGAGAUACGGCCCAGACUCCUACGGGAGGCAGCAGUGGGGAAUAUUGCACAAUGGGCGGAAGCCUGAUGCAGCAACGCCGCGUGCGGGAUGACGGCCUUCGGGUUGUAAACCGCUUUCGCCUGUGACGAAGCGUGAGUGACGGUAAUGGGUAAAGAAGCACCGGCUAACUACGUG
RNAcentral lists this ribosomal RNA (468 nucleotides) under uncultured bacterium. RNAcentral's name for it is "partial 16S ribosomal RNA". It matches the Rfam family "Bacterial small subunit ribosomal RNA", at positions 28 to 507 of the family's 1533-position model. The record is from RNAcentral.